Long non-coding RNA from Callithrix jacchus (white-tufted-ear marmoset), 889 nucleotides. NCBI's taxonomy places the organism in Eukaryota, Metazoa, Chordata, Mammalia, Primates, Cebidae. The record is from Ensembl.
CUUCAAUCUACUUAAAAUAAACUAAGGUCCCUGGCCUGCCAGGAAGUGAUUUUUUUUUUCUUUAUCAGCUGUGAAGCUGGAACCCUGUAAGAAAGACAGGGACCAACCUGAUUUUCCUGGGAUAGUUUUGUAGGCAUUAACUUCAUAUAUCAAGUCAAUCCUUGCACCUUGGUGGUAGGCUUGUCAUAGCUGAUUAAAUGGGCAUUACUUUUUACAUGACCCACAAACCAUGGAGUUUGUUGCAAAAUCAAUUUGAUGCAGGACAAGCAAGCCCCAAGUGCAGCUUAGCCCACAACAAUUCUUGGCUUUGACCAAGAAAAAAUUCAAAGGGAAGCCAGAAGCAGAAAAAAAACCAGCUUUAUUGCAGUAGCAGUGUUACAACUCCCUGACUGCUCCUGCAGAGCAAGUCUACCACACAGGCAGAGAGCAGCAGCUCAGGGCAGUUUUGCAGUCAUAUUUAUACCUACUCUUAAUUACAUGCAGAUUAAGGAGUGGUUUGUGCAGUAAUUUCUAGGGAAAGAGGAGUAACUUUGGAGACGUGAAGUCAUUGCCUUGGAAAGGGGCAGUAACUCCCUGGUGUUGCCAUGGCAGUGGUAGAACUGACACGGCACAUUGGUGGGCGUGUCUGAUGGAAAACUGCUUCCAUCUCUCUCUGUUUCAGAUGGUCCUCAAUUUGGUCCAGUGUCUGAGCUCUGCCUCUAGUCAAGUCUUGCCUCCUGAGUCAAGUUUGGCCUCCUACCUCAAAUUUGUCUAUUUAUAUCUUGAUAAGCUGUACAGGAAGCAUGGAUGGGGAGGCCUCAGGAAACUUACAAUCAUGGUGGAAGGCGAAGGAGAAGCAGCACAUCUUCACAUGGCCAAAGCAGGAAGAAGAGAGAGAGAUUGGAGGUGA